Musa acuminata subsp. malaccensis (wild Malaysian banana) is the source of this 683-nucleotide long non-coding RNA. RefSeq lists it as uncharacterized. Lineage: Eukaryota; Viridiplantae; Streptophyta; Magnoliopsida; Zingiberales; Musaceae. The record is from RefSeq and is a predicted model, not a curated record.
AUCGAUUGCUUCGGUUUAGCCUGUGGUAGGGCUAGGGUUUCCCCUUCUUGUGUUUCCGGGAUAAUGUGGUUGGGGGAGGGGGGUUGCGUUCUGAGGCCUCGAACGAUGGCUCCAAGCGGUGGAGGAGUGGUACAAGCAGAUGCCCAUCGUCACGCGGUCGUAUCUCACCACCGCGAUCGUCACCGCCGUCGCGUGAUCCCUCGAGGGUAUGAUAGCAGGUCAUGCAUAUUAUUUCCUUGAAGAUGUAUAUCCACUGAUGCAAGGACACCGCCCCCUAAGAACUCCCUUCAUCAAAAACAUUAUUUGCGGAGGAAAGUGGCCCAACCAGGGGAUGCAAAAUUUGACCCUCGAGCACGGGAUGUUCAUCAAAAGAGUAACGAAGAAGAUCGUCUUACAGUCUUUCUUCCGCUUUUGUGGAUCUAGCCACAAACAGCAGGGAAAUAUGUUUCACUUCCUCACCUUCUUUUGUGUUUUUACUGCAUCUUGUGAAUACCAAAAGGAGCUUAUAUGGUAAUUACACUGUUCGAAGAAACUAAAAUUCCCUAGUGGUAAGUAUUGACAUAAGCCUAGUCUGUAAGAAUGCACUAGCAACUUAACGAAAGCAGAGUAUGUAAACAUGCUGAAACGUUUACUGUAAGAUUGGGUGUUACAGCAAUGAUCGUUGGCACUACAUUUUUCAUGUA